CCUACGGGUGGCAGCAGUGGGGAAUAUUGCACAAUGGGCGCAAGCCUGAUGCAGCCAUGCCGCGUGUGUGAAGAAGGCCUUCGGGUUGUAAAGCACUUUCAGCGGGGAGGAAGGCGUUAAGGUUAAUAACCUUGUCGAUUGACGUUACCCGCAGAAGAAGCACCGGCUAACUCCGUGGCCAGCAGCCGCGGUAAUACGGAGGGUGCAAGCGUUAAUCGGAAUUACUGGGCGUAAAGCGCACGCAGGCGGUCUGUCAAGUCGGAUGUGAAAUCCCCGGGCUCAACCUGGGAACUGCAUUCGAAACGGGCAGGCUAGAGUCGUGUAGAGGGGGGUAGAAGUCCAGGUGUAGCGGUGAAAUGCGGAGAGAUCUGGAGGAAUACAGGUGGCGAAGGCGGCACCCUGGACAAAGACUGACGCUCAGGUGCGAAAGCGUGGGGAGCAAACAGGAUUAGAUACCCCGGUAGUC
Molecule: ribosomal RNA, 466 nt
Filed under: uncultured Klebsiella sp.
Lineage: Bacteria; Pseudomonadati; Pseudomonadota; Gammaproteobacteria; Enterobacterales; Enterobacteriaceae
Description: bacterial SSU rRNA
Rfam family: Bacterial small subunit ribosomal RNA
Source: RNAcentral